GGGGAAUAUUGGACAAUGGGCGCAAGCCUGAUCCAGCCAUGCCGCGUGGGUGAAGAAGGCCUUCGGGUUGUAAAGCCCUUUUGUUGGGAAAGAAAAGCAGCCGGUUAAUACCCGGUUGUCAUGACGGUACCCAAAGAAUAAGCACCGGCUAACUUCGUGCCAGCAGCCGCGGUAAUACGAAGGGUGCAAGCGUUACUCGGAAUUACUGGGCGUAAAGCGUGCGUAGGUGGUUUGUUAAGUCAGAUGUGAAAGCCCUGGGCUCAACCUGGGAACUGCAUUUGAUACUGGCAGGCUAGAGUGCGGUAGAGGAUAGCGGAAUUCCUGGUGUAGCAGUGAAAUGCGUAGAGAUCAGGAGGAACAUCCGUGGCGAAGGCGGCUAUCUGGGCCAGCACUGACACUGAGGCACGGAAGCGUGGGGAGCAAAC
This 425-nucleotide ribosomal RNA is filed under the name uncultured bacterium. RNAcentral's name for it is "bacterial SSU rRNA". It matches the Rfam family "Bacterial small subunit ribosomal RNA", at positions 356 to 773 of the family's 1533-position model. The record is from RNAcentral.